Molecule: long non-coding RNA, 443 nt
Organism: Triticum aestivum (bread wheat)
Lineage: Eukaryota; Viridiplantae; Streptophyta; Magnoliopsida; Poales; Poaceae
Exons: 4
Source: RefSeq, a predicted model, not a curated record
GCGGACAACAGGCAUGAGAUUCAAUCGCGAACGAUGAUUAAUCGGGCCAUUAAUGCCAAUCGAUGCUCCGGGAAGCUGGUCCUUUCCUACUCUGCUCAUUUUCGCAAACCACAGUCCAAAAGCAAGGUGAUGGGUGUUGCUUAGGUUCCAGCUCUGUUUGGUUUAAGCUUCUCUCCAGGUUGGAAUUCUAGCGACGUACUGCUUGGUAUCUUUGGUUCUUCCAGUUGAUCCAAUGGCUAAUGGACAAUCCAGACUGGCCGCUGCUCCUUUCCCACUCUCCUCACUCUUGCAAACCAAUCUCCAGCAGCGAUGGGUGAUGUUCAGGUGUUCUGUUGGAUUAGAAAGUUUAGGAAUUAACCAUUUGGAAGGUGAUCCACUGGUUUCUAUGUUUCCAAUCUAUACAGUACCUCUUGCUGCUCCCCUGAGCAAUUAUUUGACCAUGC